UACGUAGGGCGCAAGCGUUAUCCGGAAUUAUUGGGCGUAAAGAGCUCGUAGGCGGUUUGUCGCGUCUGCCGUGAAAGUCCGGGGCUCAACUCCGGAUCUGCGGUGGGUACGGGCAGACUAGAGUGAUGUAGGGGAGACUGGAAUUCCUGGUGUAGCGGUGAAAUGCGCAGAUAUCAGGAGGAACACCGGUGGCGAAGGCGGGUCUCUGGGACGGUACUGACGCUGAGACGCGAAAGCGUGGGGAGCGAACAGG
This 253-nucleotide ribosomal RNA is filed under the name uncultured bacterium. RNAcentral's name for it is "partial 16S ribosomal RNA". It matches the Rfam family "Bacterial small subunit ribosomal RNA", at positions 524 to 776 of the family's 1533-position model. The record is from RNAcentral.